Molecule: non-coding RNA, 74 nt
Organism: Myxocyprinus asiaticus (Chinese sucker)
Lineage: Eukaryota; Metazoa; Chordata; Actinopteri; Cypriniformes; Catostomidae
Source: the annotation of a RefSeq genome assembly
GGCUCUGUGGCGCAAUGGAUAGCGCAUUGGACUUCUAAUUCAAAGGUUGUGGGUUCAAGUCCCACACAGAGUCA